GGUCGGGUGGUGUAGUUGGUUAUGUACGUAUUCCACUGAACUCGACACCUCAUCAGAUCCAAAAACUAAUAAUCAAUUCAGCACAUCUCGUUAACAGUUUACUGUGACAUAUUCCGAGAAGGUCCUGGGAUCGAGCCCCAGCCUGAUCA
Molecule: non-coding RNA, 149 nt
Organism: Cadophora gregata
Lineage: Eukaryota; Fungi; Ascomycota; Leotiomycetes; Helotiales; Ploettnerulaceae
Source: the annotation of a RefSeq genome assembly